This 203-nucleotide long non-coding RNA is filed under the name Vigna radiata. Its description in RNAcentral is "long non-coding RNA (VRAD_LNC000944)". Lineage: Eukaryota; Viridiplantae; Streptophyta; Magnoliopsida; Fabales; Fabaceae. The record is from RNAcentral.
UCUAACUCAAGCGGCCUUCCAAGGGGGAAGGAAGCUAGAGGAUAAGUGUGCUAAGAAGGCACAAUGCAUUGAACUCGAGAGAAGUGGCUAAAAAUUCAAUUCAGCAGCAAUUCACUAUAUCACUCAAGUUCAAUUUACAAUGGUAUGAGUCUCCCUUUUAUAGAUGAGUAGAGGACUCUAAAAGUGUCUAGCAAGCUAUUAAA